This is a long non-coding RNA of Heterocephalus glaber (naked mole-rat), 686 nucleotides long. Lineage: Eukaryota; Metazoa; Chordata; Mammalia; Rodentia; Bathyergidae. The record is from Ensembl.
GCGGGAGAGGGCGCUGCCCCGCCGCCCGAGUCGCUGGGCGCCGCGUUUCGCUGACUCUGCCAAACACGCCAUUAGGGCCCGCCCGGGAGGGCGUUAUCCUAAUGGAGCGGCUCUAAGUCACCUUUGAAAGGAAAUCCCCGGCCCGAGUCCUGACCUGCGCCAAGGCCUCGGUGGGCAGUCCGCAGAGGCCAUUCCAGACCUCCCUCCCUGCUCCCCUGGCCUCUGACCCCAUGCGCUUGAAGCGCAGGUCCUGGCCUCCACGGCUCUUCUCACUUUGGCUGGGUGCUGCUUCAUCCCGGUCAGCUGGGAUGGGGCGUCCCCAGAGCGCCCGGAACAGGCCUCCAGAGAGAAGCCACCGGCCAAUAUAGAAAUCGCACAGCGCUGCCAACAUUGGGCGUCUGUUCGGGACAAGCAAGACAGCAAGGGGCUCCAGGUUGAAUGGGGAGGCUUCCAGGCUGCCAUAGCACCACUUCCAGUGCAGAGGAGGCUUCUGAGCUGCUGUACCACUGCUCCCAGCACAGACGAGGUGAGCUGCAAGGGUGCCAGCAGCACAUACACAAACAAACACACCCGUCAAAAUGAGAAGACACCUAAACAAGUCUCAAAACCAGACUUCCAGAUCACCUACAGCAACCUCAAAGGGAAACGAGAUGGAACACUCUGAUACUCAACCACCUGGACUCCCU